UACAGAGGGGGCAAGCGUUGUUCGGAAUUACUGGGCGUAAAGGGCGCGUAGGCGGCCCUCUAAGUCAGACGUGAAAUCCCCGGGCUCAACCCGGGAACUGCGUCUGAUACUGGGGGGCUUGAAUCCGGGAGAGGGAUGUGGAAUUCCAGGUGUAGCGGUGAAAUGCGUAGAUAUCUGGAGGAACACCGGUGGCGAAGGCGACAUCCUGGACCGGCAUUGACGCUGAGGCGCGAAAGCCAGGGGAGCAAACGGG
This 253-nucleotide ribosomal RNA is filed under the name uncultured bacterium. RNAcentral describes it as "partial 16S ribosomal RNA". It matches the Rfam family "Bacterial small subunit ribosomal RNA", at positions 524 to 776 of the family's 1533-position model. The record is from RNAcentral.